Molecule: ribosomal RNA, 309 nt
Filed under: uncultured eukaryote
Lineage: Eukaryota
Description: partial 18S ribosomal RNA
Rfam family: Eukaryotic small subunit ribosomal RNA
Source: RNAcentral
CCCUUAGAUGUUCUGGGCGGCCCGCGCACUACAUUGGCACUCUCAAUAAGUUCCUAGAUCUAAAACUUUGGGGUAUUCUAUUAAGUGGUGUCGUGACUGGGAUCAACCCUUGCAAUUAUUGGUUACGAACGAGGAAUUCCUUGUAAUCGCGGUUUAUCAGCCCGCGUUGAAUGCGUCCCUGCCCUUUGUACACACCGCCCGUCGCUCCUACCGAUGAAUCGUCCGGUGAAGUUCAUGGAGUGGUGGUUGUUCCAGCUGCUGUCGAAGUGAAAUGGACCUCACGAUUUAGAGGAAGGAGAAGUCGUAACA